RNAcentral lists this transfer RNA (74 nucleotides) under Sphaerodactylus townsendi. RNAcentral's name for it is "tRNA-Ala". Lineage: Eukaryota; Metazoa; Chordata; Lepidosauria; Squamata; Sphaerodactylidae. The record is from RNAcentral.
GGGGCCAUGGUUCAGUGGAAGAGCAUCUCCUUGGCAUGCAGAAGAUCCUCCAGGUUCCAUCCUUGGCAUCUCCA